Molecule: ribosomal RNA, 226 nt
Filed under: uncultured bacterium
Lineage: Bacteria
Description: partial 16S ribosomal RNA
Rfam family: Bacterial small subunit ribosomal RNA
Source: RNAcentral
GCGUUGUCCGGAAUCACUGGGCGUAAAGGGCGCGUAGGUGGUCUGAUAAGGGUGUGGUGAAAGCCCGGGGCUCAACCCCGGGUCGGCCGUGCCGACUGUCAGACUGGAGUACUGUAGGGGCAGGUGGAAUUCCGGGUGUAGCGGUGGAAUGCGUAGAGAUCCGGAGGAAGACCGGUGGCGAAGGCGGCCUGCUGGGCAGUUACUGACACUGAGGCGCGACAGCGUG